RNAcentral lists this ribosomal RNA (220 nucleotides) under uncultured bacterium. RNAcentral's name for it is "partial 16S ribosomal RNA". It matches the Rfam family "Bacterial small subunit ribosomal RNA", at positions 524 to 742 of the family's 1533-position model. The record is from RNAcentral.
GACGUAGGGCGCGAGCGUUGUCCGGAUUUAUUGGGCGUAAAGAGCUCGUAGGCGGCUUGUCGCGUCGACUGUGAAACCCGCGGCUCAACUGCGGGCCUGCAGCCGAUACGGGCAGGCUAGAGUUCGGUGAGGGGAGACUGGAAUUCCUGGUGUAGCGGUGAAAUGCGCAGAUAUCAGGAGGAACACCGGUGGCGAAGGCGGGUCUCUGGGCCGAUGACUG